UACAGAGGGUGCAAGCGUUGUUCGGAAUUACUGGGCGUAAAGCGCGUGUAGGCGGCGUCGUUAGUCGGAUGUGAAAGCCCUCGGCUCAACCGAGGAAGUGCAUCCGAUACUGCGAUGCUUGAGUGUUGGAGGGGGUGGCGGAAUUGACGGUGUAGCGGUGAAAUGCAUAGAUAUCGUCAAGAACACCUAUAGCGAAGGCAGCUUACUGGGCUGUAACUGACGCUGAGGCACGAAAGUGUGGGGAUCAAACAGG
Molecule: ribosomal RNA, 253 nt
Filed under: uncultured bacterium
Lineage: Bacteria
Description: partial 16S ribosomal RNA
Rfam family: Bacterial small subunit ribosomal RNA
Source: RNAcentral